Molecule: RNA transcript, 1885 nt
Organism: Solanum tuberosum (potato)
Lineage: Eukaryota; Viridiplantae; Streptophyta; Magnoliopsida; Solanales; Solanaceae
Gene name: cytochrome P450 CYP72A219-like
Exons: 5
Source: RefSeq, a predicted model, not a curated record
UAUUAUAUAGUGUAGUUAAUAAAGAGAAAGCAAGUAAGAGAACCCCUUUCAAUGGAGUUUUCAUCAUAUAUGAGAUCAAUGGAGAUUUCUUACAACAUAAUUAUAGCAACAAUUAGUGUUGCAAUUUUGUUGUUCUAUACAUGGAAAGUGUUGAAUUGGGCAUGGUUUGGGCCAAAAAAAUUGGAAAAUUGCUUAAGGCAAAGAGGUCUAAAAGGAAAUCCAUAUAAGCUACUCUAUGGAGAUUUGAAUGAGUUAACAAAAAGUAUAGUAGAAGCAAAGUCUAAGCCUAUCAAUUUCUCUGAUGAUAUAGCUCAAAGACUCAUCCCUUUUUUCCUCAACUCCAUCAACAAAAAUGGUAAAAGUUCUUUCAUCUGGCUAGGCCCCUACCCAAUCGUGUUGAUCACGAAUCCUGAACAUGUAAAGGAGAUUUUCACAAAGAAUUAUGUGUAUCUAAAGCAAACUCAUCCCAAUCCAUUCACCAAGUUAUUGGCUAAAGGUCUUGUAAGCGUUGAGGAGGACAAAUGGACCAAACACAGAAAAAUCAUCAAUCCUGCCUUCCAUGUCGAGAAGUUAAAGCAUAUGCUGCCAGCAUUUUAUGUGUGUUGUAGUGAAAUGAUAAGCAAAUGGGAGGAGAUUGUUCCAAAGGAAACAUCAACCGAGAUCGAUGUAUGGCCAGACCUUGAAAUGAUGACCAGCGAAGUCAUUUCUCGCACAGCAUUUGGGAGUAGCUAUGAAGAAGGAAGAAUAGUAUUUGAACUUCAGAAGGAACAAGCUGAGCAUGUAAUGGAAGUAGCACGUUCAAUUUAUAUACCUGGAUCUAGGUUCUUGCCGACAAAAAGAAACAAAAGAAUGCUGGAAAUUGAAAAGGAUAUUCAAACAACAAUUAGGCGUAUCAUUGACAAAAGAUUGAGGGCAAUGGAAGGAGGGGAGACUAGUAAAGAUGACUUAUUAGGCAUAUUACUUGAAUCCAAUAUGAAAGAAAUUGAACAACACGGAAGCAAAGAUUUCGGUAUGACAACAAUUGAAGUGAUUGAAGAGUGCAAGUUAUUCUAUUUUGCUGGACAAGAGACCACUUCAGUGUUGCUCGUCUGGACAAUGAUUUUGUUGUGCCUACAUCCAGAGUGGCAAGUACGUGCCAGGGAGGAGGUGUUGCAGGUAUUUGGAAAUGAUAAACCAGAUUUGGAAGGACUAGGUCGCUUGAAAAUAGUGACCAUGAUCUUGUACGAGACGCUAAGGCUAUUCCCUCCAUUACCAACAUUUGGUAGAACGAAUAAAGAAGAAGUGAAACUGGGGGAGCUAAAUCUACCAGCUGGAGUGAUACUCAUAGUACCCGCAAUCUUAGUACAUUAUGAUAAGGAAAUAUGGGGUGAAGACGCAAAGGAAUUCAAACCAAAAAGAUUUAGUGAAGGAGUGUCAAAAGCAACCAAAGGACAAUUCUCGUUUAUCCCAUUUGGAGGGGGGCCUCGAAUUUGCAUUGGACAAAACUUUGCGAUGAUGGAAGCAAAAAUGGCAAUAGCAAUGAUACUACAAAGGUUCUCCUUUGAACUCUCUUCCAUCAUAUACACAUGCUCCAUUUGCAGUAGUGACUAUUCAUCCUCAGUAUGGUGCUCCUCUGCUUAGGCGCAAACUCUAAUAUGAUAUUUUACACCAUUGGUGUUGUAUGAUCCAUACUAAUUUGUCACAUGAUGACUGAAGUCAUGCUUCGAAUUUAAACGUUAACGUUAAAUUGCAGCUUGGUUAACAUUAUCAAAAUUUAUUUGGUCAACUAAUCAUAGGUCUCCUCUGAUGAACUUCAUUUGGCCUCUUGGUGGAGCAGAAGUUUCUUCUUAAAGUUGUGUAGAACAUAUAUAUAUAUUUCUAUUGCACCUCUAUGUUCAUUUUGGUU